This 460-nucleotide ribosomal RNA is filed under the name uncultured bacterium. RNAcentral describes it as "partial 16S ribosomal RNA". It matches the Rfam family "Bacterial small subunit ribosomal RNA", at positions 338 to 795 of the family's 1533-position model. The record is from RNAcentral.
CCUACGGGAGGCUGCAGUGAGGAAUAUUGGUCAAUGGGCGCGAGCCUGAACCAGCCAAGUAGCGUGAAGGAUGACUGUCCUACGGGUUGUAAACUUCUUUUAUAAAGGCAUAAAGUGAGGCACGUGUGCCUGUUUGUAUGUACUUGAUGAAUAAGGAUAGGCUAACUCCGUGCCAGCAGCCGCGGUAAUACGGAGGAUGCGAGCGUUAUCCGGAUUGAGUGGGUUGAAAGGGAGCGGAGAUGGGUUGUUAAGUCAGUAUUGAAAGUUUGCGGCUCAACCGUAAAAUUGCAAUUGAUACUGGCCGUUUUUAGUACGGUUGAGGUAGGCGGAAUGCGUGGUGUAGCGGUGAAAUGCUUUGAUAUCUCGAAGAACUCCGAUUGCGCAGGCAGCUUACUAAACUGCCACUGACAUUGAUGCUCGAAAGUGUGGGUAUCAAACAGGAUUAGAUACCCCAGUAGUC